UGGGGAAUAUUGGACAAUGGGGGCAACCCUGAUCCAGCAAUGCCGCGUGUGUGAAGAAGGUCUUCGGAUUGUAAAGCACUUUCGACGGGGACGAUGAUGACGGUACCCGUAGAAGAAGCCCCGGCUAACUUCGUGCCAGCAGCCGCGGUAAUACGAAGGGGGCUAGCGUUGCUCGGAAUGACUGGGCGUAAAGGGCGUGUAGGCGGUUUACACAGUCAGAUGUGAAAUCCCCGGGCUUAACCUGGGAGCUGCAUUUGAUACGUGUAGACUAGAGUGUGAGAGAGGGUUUGUGGAAUUCCCAGUGUAGAGGUGAAAUUCGUAGAUAUUGGGAAGAACACCGGUGGCGAAGGCGGCAACCUGGCUCAUGACUGACGCUGAGGCGCGAAAGCGUGGGGAGCAAACAGGUUAGAUACCCUGGUAGUCCACGCUGUAAACGAUGUGUGCUAGAUGUUGGGUACUUUGG
RNAcentral lists this ribosomal RNA (463 nucleotides) under uncultured bacterium. RNAcentral describes it as "partial 16S ribosomal RNA". It matches the Rfam family "Bacterial small subunit ribosomal RNA", at positions 355 to 835 of the family's 1533-position model. The record is from RNAcentral.